Molecule: non-coding RNA, 755 nt
Organism: Poecilia reticulata (guppy)
Lineage: Eukaryota; Metazoa; Chordata; Actinopteri; Cyprinodontiformes; Poeciliidae
Source: RefSeq, a predicted model, not a curated record
AGGGGAUUUCAGCCUCGUUCUGAUUGGUUCACAGGAGGAAGAGGACAAUAUUUACUGAUGCAGUUUUCCGUCAUAUCUUAAAAUAUUUGAGGAACGUUGAAUAAAUGUAAACAUUAAAGGAGAGCUUUAGUUUUGUACGACACGUAGAAAUCAGUCCAGAGGCGCUCAAACUGCCGGACUGCCCUGAACUACAUUUCCCAUCAUGCCCAGGCUGUGACAUGUCAAUCAGGUGAUGUGGAAAGGUCAGGAAGGCUUUAUUUGACCCUCUGAGCUGCAGAUUCUCAGCUUCGCGUUAAUAUUUCUGUUGUGAUCAAUGGUUGACGCUUUAUUGUUGACAGUUUUGUAUUUUGAUGUAAAUCCGAUCGGUUCUGAAGACCCGCUUGUAUCCGGCUCCGUAGAGUUCAGUAGCCUUCACAGAGUUCAACUCUGAGAUGUUUUUUUCUGUUUCUUCUUCUCUGUAUCUGUGAGCGCGGUCGCUUCUCGGCCCAAACUGUCUGUUGGAUUUGCAAUAAACCUUCUGGUGGUUUGGUCACAAACUGGAGAAGCACGACUCCGUCUGUCUGCAUCAAGAUCACAGCUGUAGACGCUUCGGUUCCUCCAAACAGGUGACCUUUGACCUGCUGACAGGCCGGCAGAGAAGCUCUUUCUCCGAGCUUCACACUUAAUUUCAUUUUUUUGUAGGAAAAGGGAAAUUAUUCAUUGAUCCAAAACUUUAAAACAUAAUAAAAAGUAUUGUAAUUUAUUUUCAAAUUUUA